This is a long non-coding RNA of Megalobrama amblycephala (Wuchang bream), 788 nucleotides long. RefSeq lists it as uncharacterized. Lineage: Eukaryota; Metazoa; Chordata; Actinopteri; Cypriniformes; Xenocyprididae. The record is from RefSeq and is a predicted model, not a curated record. The transcript is spliced from 4 exons.
AUCUCAAAAGUGAGAACGAGACUUUAAAGCUUACAGCUUCCGUAUAUCGACAGCCGCAGACCUAAAUGCGCGUCUCUUGCCUCCUUUCUGAGGCGAGCGUUUGACCGUUUCUAUAGAAACCGGUGCUUCUAAGAGGCGCUGCUGUGACGUGAUAACUUUAGCAGUCAGCAAUUGGACCUUAUUUAGAAGGCGGGACAUAUUCCGCCAUAUUGCGCAAUACACUUUCUCCCAUUCAAAACAAAACGAGUGACACGACUUGUGUUAUUCUAUAGUCUUUGAUAGUAACCGUGGAAACAGGUAUUGACAGCUGCGUGAUGUCUAGUGGCACGCCGUUUCAUGCAACACUAUGGAACAUGGCAAGCAAACUUGGAAUAAGAAUUGGAGCGAGGAUCAACCUCAGCAUGGCGUUUACGAAAUGCAGCAGUUUUGCGACUAACUCGACUCAACAGAUGCCGCUCUAAUAGACAGCUCCGCCUUGGUCCUCCAAGCCUGUGGUGUCGCCCUGGUUCUCCAUCCCUUUGUCUCCACCUUGAACACAAGAGAUACAGAGGACAAAAGUGAUCCCAAAUGCUGUGUGACGCAGCAUACAGGACCACUCAGUGGGCUGACCAAUGAAACUUUCCUAGUGCCAGGGGGACAACUCUGACUGCACACAGACUCCGGGACCUGUAACAGGGAUUUCAACUUCACACACUUUUGCACAUAUUACUGUAUGUAGAGAAAUAUAAGAUUCAUCAUCACCACCACAAAGAAUAAACUUAAUUUUAAUUUUAAAUUUCACAUUUUAA